UACGAAGGGAGCGAGCGUUGUUCGGAAUCACUGGGCUUAAAGCGUGCGUAGGUGGAUUGGUAAGUAAGGAGUGAAAUCCCAGGGCUUAACCCUGGAACUGCUCUUUAGACUGCCUGUCUGGAAUUCGGAAGAGGUUGGUGGAACUCCCAGUGUAGAGGUGAAAUUCGCAGAUAUUGGGAAGAACACCGGUGGCGAAGGCGACCAACUGGUCCGACAUUGACACUGAGGCGCGAAAGCGUGGGGAGCAAACCGG
RNAcentral lists this ribosomal RNA (253 nucleotides) under uncultured bacterium. Its description in RNAcentral is "partial 16S ribosomal RNA". It matches the Rfam family "Bacterial small subunit ribosomal RNA", at positions 524 to 776 of the family's 1533-position model. The record is from RNAcentral.